AAUGAACGUUGGCGGCGUGGAUUAGGCAUGCAAGUCGAGCGAGAAUCCAUUCAGUUGAAACUUCGGUCGAUUCUGGUGGAGGAAAGCGGCGAACGGGAGAGUAACGCGUGGAGUACCUGCCCUUAGAUCCGGGAUAGCCGCGGGAAACUGCGGGUAAUACCGGAUGAUGUCUCCGGACUAAAGGUGUGAUUCCGUCUAAGGAUGGCUCCGCGUCCUAUUAGCUUGUUGGUGAGGUAACGGCUCACCAAGGCGACGAUGGGUACCGGGUGUGAGAGCAUGACCCGGCUCACUGGGACUGAGACACUGCCCAGACACCUACGGGAGGCAG
This 328-nucleotide ribosomal RNA is filed under the name uncultured Planctomycetota bacterium. RNAcentral describes it as "bacterial SSU rRNA". It matches the Rfam family "Bacterial small subunit ribosomal RNA", at positions 29 to 351 of the family's 1533-position model. The record is from RNAcentral. Lineage: Bacteria; Pseudomonadati; Planctomycetota.